Molecule: ribosomal RNA, 585 nt
Filed under: uncultured Alphaproteobacteria bacterium
Lineage: Bacteria; Pseudomonadati; Pseudomonadota; Alphaproteobacteria
Description: bacterial SSU rRNA
Rfam family: Bacterial small subunit ribosomal RNA
Source: RNAcentral
GAAAGUGGCGCACGGGUGAGUAACGCGUGGGAACCUACCCUGGGGUAGGGAAUAACCGCUGGAAACGGCGGCUAAUACCCUAUACGUCCUGAGGGAGAAAGAUUUAUCGCCCUGGGAUGGGCCCGCGUUAGAUUAGGUAGUUGGUGGGGUAAAGGCCUACCAAGCCUACGAUCUAUAGCUGGUCUGAGAGGAUGAUCAGCCACACUGGGACUGAGACACGGCCCAGACUCCUACGGGAGGCAGCAGUGGGGAAUAUUGGACAAUGGGGGCAACCCUGAUCCAGCCAUGCCGCGUGAGUGAAGAAGGCCUUAGGGUUGUAAAGCUCUUUCAACGGUGAAGAUGAUGACGGUAGCCGUAGAAGAAGCCCCGGCUAACUCCGUGCCAGCAGCCGCGGUAAUACGGAGGGGGCAAGCGUUGUUCGGAAUUACUGGGCGUAAAGGGCGUGUAGGCGGAUAUUCAAGUUAGGGGUGAAAGGCCUGGGCUCAACCUGGGAACUGCCUUUAAACUGGAUAUCUAGAGUACGGAAGAGGGUAGCGGAAUACCCAGUGUAGAGGGUGAAAUUCGGUAGAUAUUGGGUAGAACACC